UUCGCAAUGCCCGAAAGGGUGACGAAGCGACGCCGCGUGGGUGAGGAAGGCCCUCGGGUUGUAAAGCCCUGUCAGGAGUUAAGAAAUGUAAGUGCGCUAAUAUCGCAUUUAUUUGACGAAGGCUCCAAAGGAAGUCACGGCUAACUCUGUGCCAGCAGCCGCGGUAAUACAGAGGUGGCAAGCGUUGUUCGGAAUUAUUGGGCGUAAAGAGCACGUAGGUGGGUUUGUAAGUCAGAUGUGAAAGCCUUCUGUUCAACGGAAGAAUUGCAUCUGAAACUACGAGUCUUGAGUGUAGGAGGGGAGAAUGGAACUUCUGGUGGAGCGGUGAAAUGCGUAGAUAUCAGAAGGAACGCCGGCGGCGAAAGCGAUUCUCUGGCCUAUUACUGACACUCAGUGUGCGAAAGCUAGGGGAGCAAACGGGAUUAGAUACCCCGGUAGUCCUAGCCGUAAACGAUGGGCACUAAGUAGAGGGGUUUUA
This 478-nucleotide ribosomal RNA is filed under the name uncultured bacterium. Its description in RNAcentral is "bacterial SSU rRNA". It matches the Rfam family "Bacterial small subunit ribosomal RNA", at positions 365 to 833 of the family's 1533-position model. The record is from RNAcentral.